This 500-nucleotide ribosomal RNA is filed under the name uncultured bacterium. Its description in RNAcentral is "partial 16S ribosomal RNA". It matches the Rfam family "Bacterial small subunit ribosomal RNA", at positions 30 to 523 of the family's 1533-position model. The record is from RNAcentral.
AUUGAACGCUGGCGGCAUGCCUUACACAUGCAAGUCGAACGGCAGCACGGGAGCAAUCCUGGUGGCGAGUGGCGAACGGGUGAGUAAUAUAUCGGAACGUGCCCAGUCGUGGGGGAUAACGCAGCGAAAGCUGUGCUAAUACCGCAUACGAUCUAUGGAUGACAGCGGGGGAUCGCAAGACCUCGCGCGAUUGGAGCGGCAGAUAUCAGAUUAGCUAGUUGGUGAGGGAAAGGCUCACCAAGGCGACGAUCUGUAGCUGGUCUGAGAGGACGACCAGCCACACUGGAACUGAGACACGGGCCAGACUCCUACGGGAGGCAGCAGUGGGGAAUUUUGGACAAUGGGCGAAAGCCUGAGCCAGCAAUGCCGCGUGCAGGAUGAAGGCCUUCGGGUUGUAAACUGCUUUUGUACGGAACGAAACGGUGAGCUCUAAUACAGUUUGCUAAUGACGGUACCGUAAGAAUAAGCACCGGCUAACUACGUGCCAGCAGCCGCCGUAA